GACGAACGCUGGCGGCGUGCUUAACACAUGCAAGUCGAGCGGUAAGGCCCUUUCGGGGGUACACGAGCGGCGAACGGGUGAGUAACACGUGGGUGACCUGCCCUCAGCUCUGGGAUAAGCCUGGGAAACCGGGUCUAAUACCGGAUAUGACUCCAUGACGCAUGUUGUGGGGUGGAAAGCCCUGUGCGGCUGAGGAUGGGCCCGCGGCCUAUCAGCUUGUUGGUGGGGUGAUGGCCUACCAAGGCGACGACGGGUAGCCGGCCUGAGAGGGCGACCGGCCACACUGGGACUGAGACACGGCCCAGGCUCCUACGGGAGGCAGCAGUGGGGAAUCUUGCGCAAUGGGCGAAAGCCUGACGCAGCGACGCCGCGUGA
This 375-nucleotide ribosomal RNA is filed under the name uncultured bacterium. RNAcentral describes it as "bacterial SSU rRNA". It matches the Rfam family "Bacterial small subunit ribosomal RNA", at positions 28 to 404 of the family's 1533-position model. The record is from RNAcentral.